This 71-nucleotide transfer RNA is filed under the name Aphanius apodus. Its description in RNAcentral is "tRNA-Trp". It matches the Rfam family "tRNA". Rfam says of the family: Transfer RNA (tRNA) molecules are approximately 80 nucleotides in length. Lineage: Eukaryota; Metazoa; Chordata; Actinopteri; Cyprinodontiformes; Aphaniidae. The record is from RNAcentral.
AGGGGUUUAGGAUAAGACAAGACCAAAGGCCUUCAAAGCCUUAAGCGGGAGUGAAAAUCUCUCAACCCUUG